RNAcentral lists this ribosomal RNA (393 nucleotides) under uncultured bacterium. RNAcentral's name for it is "partial 16S ribosomal RNA". It matches the Rfam family "Bacterial small subunit ribosomal RNA", at positions 523 to 918 of the family's 1533-position model. The record is from RNAcentral.
AUACGUAGGGGGCAAGCGUUAUCCGGAAUUACUGGGUGUAAAGGGAGAGUAGGCGGCAUGGUAAGUUAGAUGUGAAAGCCUCGGGCUUAACCUGAGGAUUGCAUUUAAAACUAUCAAGCUAGAGUACAGGAGAGGAAAGCGGAAUUCCUAGUGUAGCGGUGAAAUGCGUAGAUAUUAGGAAGAACACCAGUGGCGAAGGCGGCUUUCUGGACUGAAACUGACGCUGAUGCUCGAAAGCGUGGGGAGCGAACAGGAUUAGAUACCCUGGUAGUCCACGCCGUAAACGAUGAGUGCUAGGUGUCGGGGAGGAAUCCUCGGUGCCGCAGCAAACGCAAUAAGCACUCCACCUGGGGAGUACGAUCGCAAGAUUGAAACUCAAAUGAAUUGACGGGG